CUGCCCUCAAGCCCGGCUUGUGUGUUGGGCCCUGCUCCUCCGGGGGCAGGCCCGAAAGGCAGUGGCGGCACCGCGUCCGGUCCUCGAGCGUAUGGGGCUUUGUCACCCGCUCUGUAGGCCCGGCCGGCGCUUGCCGACCCCCAUCAAUCUUUUUUCA
This 157-nucleotide unclassified non-coding RNA is filed under the name uncultured Penicillium. RNAcentral's name for it is "sequence contains ITS2". Lineage: Eukaryota; Fungi; Ascomycota; Eurotiomycetes; Eurotiales; Aspergillaceae. The record is from RNAcentral.